RNAcentral lists this long non-coding RNA (975 nucleotides) under Marmota monax (woodchuck). The record is from RNAcentral. Lineage: Eukaryota; Metazoa; Chordata; Mammalia; Rodentia; Sciuridae.
GACUAAACGAAUAUUGAUUUAGCAUAAUGAAGCCUGAGUAAUGUGAAAAUGAGCUUUUUCAAGGGGCUUGGUAAAGACUUUCUUUUUAGCUGGUUAGAAGAAGCUUUUCAUUCUUCCCAGUAGCUGGUUGAAAUCCUGAAUUUUAUAAGCAGGAAUGGUAGUGUUGCUUGUGAUAACUCAAUAUUUCUUCCUCAUUUUAAUAAUUCUUUUCAAGUCUGAUUUUCAGCCAGCAUUUUUGCCAUGGAAUAGCUACUGAUUUGUUUGAUGCUAUCUUAAACUGACUUCAGUAUCUUUACAAUUUCAAUAUAUUUUGCAUGGAAACCUCUGGUACUGAAUAUUAAAAUAUAACUGUAUCCACAGUUGUUUGUAGAGGACCUCAUAAUUGCAUGAAGACAUUUCAAAUGGGUCAUCGUAGUAUUUAAUGUGCCAUAUUUUAUGGUAGACUGACUUUCAGUCUCUGGACAUCAGAUUGCGUUCCCUGGGAAUGAAGAUCAAUUUACUUAAGUACUGAUUUUUUAGGCAUCAGUGCAGGUUUUCAUUUUUGUUAGACUUUUGCUCUUUUUUUGGGGAGGGGGAGGAGUGUAUUAAGAUCUCAAUCCUUCCAACAAAAUAAUAGAAGUAUAUACCUGCAUGUUUAUGUGCCCAGGUGUUUGAAGAUUUUAUGUCUGAAUAUCUCCAUAUCUAACUUGGUAGGCGGAAAAAUAGGGUAGACAGGGCUGGGAGUGCAGGGAGAAAAGUAAGCAUUUGAACAAGAUGUCAAACUGAUAUUUCAUGAGCACCUAACUCAUUCUGUGGUAACUAGUAGUCAUAAAAUCAUUAAAACCAAUAGGCAAAAUCCCUUCAGAAAUUAAAAAGGAGUUAUGAUUUAAAGGAACUUCAGGUGGCUGUAUGAAUGCAAGCUCUCCUACGGCAUGGCAUAUUUCUUAUAUGGAAAUUAUAAAUACAUCCUUUGAUGGCAGAAAGGAUAGACUUGAG